RNAcentral lists this ribosomal RNA (379 nucleotides) under uncultured eukaryote. Its description in RNAcentral is "partial 18S ribosomal RNA". It matches the Rfam family "Eukaryotic small subunit ribosomal RNA", at positions 592 to 976 of the family's 1831-position model. The record is from RNAcentral.
CAAUAGCGUAUAUUUAAGUUGUUGCAGUUAAAAAGCUCGUAGUUGGAUUUCGGAUGGGACUUGCCGGUCCGUCGUUUCGAUGUGCACUGGCCAGUCCUAUCUUGUUGUCGGGGACUAGCUCCUGGGCUUCACUGUCCGGGACUAGGAGCUGACGAGGUUACUUUGAGUAAAUUAGAGUGUUCAAAGCAAGCCUACGCUCUGAAUACAUUAGCAUGGAAUAACACGAUAGGACUCUGGCUUAUCUUGUUGGUCUGUGAGACCAGAGUAAUGAUUAAGAGGGACAGUCGGGGGCAUUCGUAUUUCAUUGUCAGAGGUGAAAUUCUUGGAUUUUUGAAAGACGAACUUCUGCGAAAGCAUUUGUCAAGGAUGUUUUCAUUAA